UGGGGAAUUUUGGACAAUGGGGGCAACCCUGAUCCAGCAAUGCCGCGUGUGUGAAGAAGGCCUGCGGGUUGUAAAGCACUUUAGGUGUGGAGAAAGGCCAUUCGGUUAAUAACCGAGUGGAUUGAUGUUACACACAGAAUAAGCACCGGCUAACUCUGUGCCAGCAGCCGCGGUAAUACAGAGGGUGCAAGCGUUAAUCGGAAUUACUGGGCGUAAAGCGCAUGUAGGUGGAAAGAUAAGUUUGAUGUGAAAGCCCCAGGCUUAACCUGGGAAUGGCGUUGAAGACUGUUUUUCUAGAGUUUGACAGAGGGUCGUGGAAUUUCCGGUGUAGCGGUGAAAUGCGUAGAGAUCGGAAAGAACACCAGUGGCGAAGGCGGCGACCUGGGUCUAAACUGACACUGAGGUGCGAAAGCGUGGGGAGCAAACAGG
RNAcentral lists this ribosomal RNA (429 nucleotides) under uncultured bacterium. RNAcentral describes it as "bacterial SSU rRNA". It matches the Rfam family "Bacterial small subunit ribosomal RNA", at positions 355 to 776 of the family's 1533-position model. The record is from RNAcentral.